UAAAAGUUUACGAGACCGACGUGUGCGCUCGAAAACCGGAAAUACGUCACUUGACCGGCACUCGCCGUAAACGAGUGAGAGAAGUUAACGUUUUUAAACUACAUUUUAAGGCAGAUUAUACACGGUAGUCACGGACUGUACAACGUGUAGCGCUUUCAUUUAAAUUUUCCAUGUUUUUAUACAUUAUUUUAGAUGAUUUGUAUCUUAUUCUUCUUCAUGUGAGCGUGGUGGGGUGACGCCCUAGCGCCCUCUAUGGACGGACCGCCACAACUGAGCGUCAGAAUGGAGACACAUACAUAAUGGAGAUAUGGUGAUAUAAGAAAAUGACAUGGUUGUUGGUGCCAGACGGCCUGGUCAUGCUCAACAAAAUCUCCAGGGAUUGCAAAGAAUGGAGAGAGAAAAAAGAGAAAAUAUCCAGUGAGCACCACUACUUCUUUGUUGAUGCCAACAAGAGGCAAGAGCAACUCAAAUAACCUCAAUCAAGAGUCAGUGCUGAAGUUCAGAAGCUCACGGUGAUAAAUAAAGCAGCUGUCAGCGUGAGUGAGGAGGCGUGAAGAGACGUGAAGAGACUUACUGUCAUGGAGUUAGUAUGGACCCAGUUCAAAACCUCGAUCACUGCAGCAGCUGCAACACUCUGUGGCCAGAAGGUGGUUGGUGCUUGUCACUGGUGGCAGCCAAAGAGCUACAGGAGGUGGUGAUGGAUGACAGAGACCUUCCAAGCUCAGUUGGCAUCAGUCCAGGGAAGAGGUGACUGGCCAGAGCUGCAGCUGAGGUAAG
Solea solea (common sole) is the source of this 777-nucleotide long non-coding RNA. RefSeq lists it as uncharacterized. NCBI's taxonomy places the organism in Eukaryota, Metazoa, Chordata, Actinopteri, Pleuronectiformes, Soleidae. The transcript has 3 exons. The record is from RefSeq and is a predicted model, not a curated record.